ACGAACGCUGGCGGCGUGCUUAACACAUGCAAGUCGAACGGAAAGGCCCUGCUUUUGUGGGGUGCUCGAGUGGCGAACGGGUGAGUAACACGUGAGUAACCUGCCCUUGACUUUGGGAUAACUUCAGGAAACUGGGGCUAAUACCGGAUAGGAGCUCCUGCUGCAUGGUGGGGGUUGGAAAGUUUCGGCGGUUGGGGAUGGACUCGCGGCUUAUCAGCUUGUUGGUGGGGUAGUGGCUUACCAAGGCUUUGACGGGUAGCCGGCCUGAGAGGGUGACCGGCCACAUUGGGACUGAGAUACGGUCCAGACUCCUACGGGAGGCAGCAGUGGGGAAUAUUGCACAAUGGGCGGAAGCCUGAUGCAGCAACGCCGCGUGCGGGAUGACGGCCUUCGGGUUGUAAACCGCUUUCGCCUGUGACGAAGCGUGAGUGACGGUAAUGGGUAAAGAAGCACCGGCCAACUACGUG
RNAcentral lists this ribosomal RNA (467 nucleotides) under uncultured bacterium. RNAcentral describes it as "partial 16S ribosomal RNA". It matches the Rfam family "Bacterial small subunit ribosomal RNA", at positions 29 to 507 of the family's 1533-position model. The record is from RNAcentral.